This 441-nucleotide unclassified non-coding RNA is filed under the name Cyclotrichium stamineum. RNAcentral describes it as "partial external transcribed spacer". The record is from RNAcentral. Lineage: Eukaryota; Viridiplantae; Streptophyta; Magnoliopsida; Lamiales; Lamiaceae.
GUUUUGCGUGAUGGAUCCCUGCUCGGGCAGCGACAUCAUAUCAUCCACGUCUCUUCAUUUGUUGGCGCGAGCAUGUCCUCGUCCGGCGUCGGUUUUCCUGUGCUGAGUACCUGUAUURAAGGCAAUACGUCGGUUAAAUUGUCCCAAUGUMGCCUUGUGCUGCYGUCCCUUGCGGGCGAGCAGUGCGGGGUGGCACAUGAAGCGCAMGCCGUUUGUCGCAUCCCGUCAACCCCUAGAAAGGUUAUCCGGGGUGACGAUCUGCGGCUUCAUGCUCGAUCUCAUGGGUACGGAAUAUCAUGUGGGGUAUACGGGGCCUCGGCCUCGAAGAACCACUAAUAAGCGUUCUACGCUUCACGCGGACGACUGUCGGUCCGGCCUCUGGCUCGGGCUCUCGUGGCUCUGGGUUUUGAGCCGUUCCGACGUCGGUGAGGAAUGCUACCU